AACGCUGGCGGCGUGCUUCAUACAUGCAAGUCGAACGAGAAGUCACCUUCGGGUGAUGGAAAGUGGCGGACGGGUGAGUAAUGUGUAGAGAAUCUGCCCUUGAUGGGGGACAACAGUUGGAAACGACUGCUAAUACCCCAUAUGAGCUUAGCUGAAAUGCUAAUCUUGAAAACUCCGGUGCUCAAGGAUGAGUCUGCAUCUGAUUAGCUAGUUGGCGGUGUAAUGGACCACCAAGGCUACGAUCAGUAGCUGGUUUGAGAGGAUGAUCAGCCACAAUGGGACUGAGACACGGCCCAUACUCCUACGGGAGGCAGCAGUGGGGAAUAUUGCACAAUGGGCGAAAGCCUGAUGCAGCGACGCCGCGUGAGUGAAGAAGUAUCUCGGUAUGUAAAGCUCUAUCAGCAGGGAAGAAAAUGACGGUACCUGACUAAGAAGCCCCGGCUAACUACGUG
Molecule: ribosomal RNA, 452 nt
Filed under: uncultured bacterium
Lineage: Bacteria
Description: bacterial SSU rRNA
Rfam family: Bacterial small subunit ribosomal RNA
Source: RNAcentral